GUCGAGCGGACAGAAGGGAGCUUGCUCCCGGAUGUUAGCGGCGGACGGGUGAGUAACACGUGGGUAACCUGCCUGUAAGACUGGGAUAACUCCGGGAAACCGGAGCUAAUACCGGAUAGUUCCUUGAACCGCAUGGUUCAAGGAUGAAAGACGGUUUCGGCUGUCACUUACAGAUGGACCCGCGGCGCAUUAGCUAGUUGGUGGGGUAAUGGCUCACCAAGGCGACGAUGCGUAGCCGACCUGAGAGGGUGAUCGGCCACACUGGGACUGAGACACGGCCCAGACUCCUACGGGAGGCAGCAGUAGGGAAUCUUCCGCAAUGGACGAAAGUCUGACGGAGCAACGCCGCGUGAGUGAUGAAGGUUUUCGGAUCGUAAAGCUCUGUUGUUAGGGAAGAACAAGUGCGAGAGUAACUGCUCGCACCUUGACGGUACCUAACCAGAAAGCCACGGCUAACUACGUGCCAGCAGCCGCGGUAAUACGUAGGUGGCAAGCGUUGUCCGGAAUUAUUGGGCGUAAAGGGCUCGCAGGCGGUUUCUUAAGUCUGAUGUGAAAGCCCCCGGCUCAACCGGGGAGGGUCAUUGGAAACUGGGAAACUUGAGUGCAGAAGAGGAGAGUGGAAUUCCACGUGUAGCGGUGAAAUGCGUAGAGAUGUGGAGGAACACCAGUGGCGAAGGCGACUCUCUGGUCUGUAACUGACGCUGAGGAGCGAAAGCGUGGGGAGCGAACAGGAUUAGAUACCCUGGUAGUCCACGCCGUAAACGAUGAGUGCUAAGUGUUACGGGGUUUCCGCCCCUUAGUGCUGCAGCUAACGCAUUAAGCACUCCGCCUGGGGAGUACGGUCGCAAGACUGAAACUCAAAGGAAUUGACGGGGGCCCGCACAAGCGGU
RNAcentral lists this ribosomal RNA (890 nucleotides) under Bacillus safensis. RNAcentral describes it as "bacterial SSU rRNA". It matches the Rfam family "Bacterial small subunit ribosomal RNA", at positions 61 to 933 of the family's 1533-position model. Lineage: Bacteria; Bacillati; Bacillota; Bacilli; Caryophanales; Bacillaceae. The record is from RNAcentral.